UUGUCUCCUCAGUUGGUUAAAGGAAAGCUACCGGGAAGGCAGAUUUGUUGACGAGUUGCCUUACAUACUAAAUGAUGAUGACUACAUAUCGAAGUAUCGAGCCAGCCUAAAAGCUGUAGUUCUCAGGGCAAAAGCAUGUUCUUGAGCUUUAUUUGAAGGGUAUGAUGUUUGCAUAUCAGCUCACGCUCAACCACCACCUAAAACUCUAUCCCUGAUAGUCAAGUCAGCCGGUGGAAAUGUGAUUCAUGAGCUAGAUAAAGUAAACAACGUAUGGAAGACGAGCUUUGUGGCUUGUGAGGAAGACGUGGAGGAAGCCUUGGUGGCCGUAGAAAAAGGGAUAUGGACUUUCAACGUUGAAUGGCUAAUGGCAUGUAUAAUGAGACAAGAAGUAGACUUGGAGGCCCUCAAUUUGCUGAGUCCCUAU
Long non-coding RNA from Cucumis sativus (cucumber), 424 nucleotides. RefSeq lists it as uncharacterized. The record is from RefSeq and is a predicted model, not a curated record. The transcript is spliced from 3 exons. Lineage: Eukaryota; Viridiplantae; Streptophyta; Magnoliopsida; Cucurbitales; Cucurbitaceae.